This 461-nucleotide ribosomal RNA is filed under the name uncultured bacterium. RNAcentral describes it as "bacterial SSU rRNA". It matches the Rfam family "Bacterial small subunit ribosomal RNA", at positions 34 to 507 of the family's 1533-position model. The record is from RNAcentral.
CGCUGGCGGCGUGCCUAACACAUGCAAGUCGAACGAGGUCCAUGCAGUGGCAACACUGCGGAAGACCUAGUGGCGAAACGGGUGAGUAACACGUGAGGAACCUGCCCCGAAGACCGGGAUAACCCUCCGAAAGGAGAGCUAAUACCGGAUACCCCACCGGAUCGCAUGAUCUGGUGAGGAAUGGAUUCCGCUUCGGGAGGGCCUCGCGGCCUAUCAGCUAGUUGGUGGGUAACGGCCCACCAAGGCAUCGACGGGUAGCUGGUCUGAGAGGACGAUCAGCCACACUGGGACUGAGACACGGCCCAGACUCCUACGGGAGGCAGCAGUGGGGAAUCUUGGGCAAUGGGCGAAAGCCUGACGCAGCAACGCCGCGUGGGGAUGAAGGCUCUCGGGUUGUAAACCCCUUUCAGCAGGGACGAAUCAAGACGGUACCUGCAGAAGAAGCCCCGGCUAACUACGUG